RNAcentral lists this unclassified non-coding RNA (224 nucleotides) under plant metagenome. RNAcentral describes it as "partial contains small subunit ribosomal RNA, internal transcribed spacer 1, and 5.8S ribosomal RNA". The record is from RNAcentral.
GUCUCCGUUGGUGAACCAGCGGAGGGAUCAUUACCGAGUUAUCGACUCCCAAACCCCUGUGAACAUACCCAACGUUGCUUCGGCGGGACCGCCCCGGCGCCCUCGGCGUCCCGGAACCAGGCGCCCGCCGGAGGACCCAAACUCUUGUUUAAACCAUAGUGGCAUAUUCUGAGUCUCACAAGAAAAAUGAAUCAAAACUUUCAACAACGGAUCUCUUGGCUCUG